AAGUCGUAACAAGGUUUCCGUAGGUGAACCUGCGGAAGGAUCAUUAACACGUAUCCAACGAAAAAAACCCUGUGAACCUUGUAGCCCGUGUGAAGCAGCAAUUCCGGUAAAUCAAGUGGGAGGUGAUUCGGAACCUCUGCUCCAUAUGCGAUAAGUUACAAUUGAGCGGUAGACGCAGUGGCAUGGCGUCCCCAAGCCUCCAGUGAAUGACAGCGUCACUGGAACAGUGUAAGGACAGCUAGAGGUCGAUCACCGACCGGCAGACAUGUCACAGGUCACCGCGCCCCUAAUCACUCCCUCUGAAAUGUUGACCCCGAUGAAAAUCCGGGUGAGAAAAAACCGAACAACUGUUAACAAUGGAUAUCUUGCUC
This 371-nucleotide unclassified non-coding RNA is filed under the name fungal sp. RNAcentral describes it as "partial internal transcribed spacer region". The stretch from base 1 to 46 matches the Rfam family "Eukaryotic small subunit ribosomal RNA", at positions 1786 to 1831 of the family's 1831-position model. Lineage: Eukaryota; Fungi. The record is from RNAcentral.